RNAcentral lists this ribosomal RNA (254 nucleotides) under uncultured bacterium. RNAcentral describes it as "partial 16S ribosomal RNA". It matches the Rfam family "Bacterial small subunit ribosomal RNA", at positions 524 to 776 of the family's 1533-position model. The record is from RNAcentral.
UACGUAGGGGCCAAGCGUUGUUCGGAUUUACUGGGCGUAAAGGGCGCGUAGGCGGCGCGGUAAGUCACUUGUGAAAUCUCUGAGCUUAACUCAGAACGGCCAAGUGAUACUGCAGUGCUAGAGUGCAGAAAGGGCAAUCGGAAUUCUUGGUGUAGCGGUGAAAUGCGUAGAUAUCAAGAGGAACACCUGAGGCGAAGGCGGGUUGCUAGGCUGACACUGACGCUGAGUGCGCGAAAGCCAGGGGAGCAAACGGG